GACGAACGCUGGCGGCGUGCUUAACACAUGCAAGUUGAACGGAAAGGCCCUGCUUUUGUGGGGUGCUCGAGUGGCGAACGGGUGAGUAACACGUGAGUAACCUGCCCUUGACUUUGGGAUAACUUCAGGAAACUGGGGCUAAUACCGCAUAGGAGCUCCUGCUGCAUGGUGGGGGUUGGAAAGUUUCGGCGGUUGGGGAUGGACUCGCGGCUUAUCAGCUUGUUGGUGGGGUAGUGGCUUACCAAGGCUUUGACGGGUAGCCGGCCUGAGAGGGUGACCGGCCACAUUGGGACUGAGAUACGGCCCAGACUCCUACGGGAGGCAGCAGUGGGGAAUAUUGCACAAUGGGCGGAAGCCUGAUGCAGCAACGCCGCGUGCGGGAUGACGGCCUUCGGGUUGUAAACCGCUUUCGCCUGUGACGAAGCGUGAGUGACGGUAAUGGGUAAAGAAGCACCGGCUAACUACGUG
RNAcentral lists this ribosomal RNA (468 nucleotides) under uncultured bacterium. RNAcentral describes it as "partial 16S ribosomal RNA". It matches the Rfam family "Bacterial small subunit ribosomal RNA", at positions 28 to 507 of the family's 1533-position model. The record is from RNAcentral.